This 503-nucleotide ribosomal RNA is filed under the name uncultured bacterium. RNAcentral describes it as "partial 16S ribosomal RNA". It matches the Rfam family "Bacterial small subunit ribosomal RNA", at positions 30 to 523 of the family's 1533-position model. The record is from RNAcentral.
AUUGAACGCUGGCGGCAGGCUUAACACAUGCAAGUCGAGCGGGGUGAUGGUGCUUGCACUAUCACUUAGCGGCGGACGGGUGAGUAAUGCUUAGGAAUCUGCCUAUUAGUGGGGGACAACAUCUCGAAAGGGAUGCUAAUACCGCAUACGUCCUACGGGAGAAAGCAGGGGAUCACUUGUGACCUUGCGCUAAUAGAUGAGCCUAAGUCGGAUUAGCUAGUUGGUGGGGUAAAGGCCUACCAAGGCGACGAUCUGUAGCGGGUCUGAGAGGAUGAUCCCCCACACUGGGACUGAGACACGGCCCGGACUCCUACGGGAGGCAGCAGUGGGGAAUAUUGGACAAUGGGGGGAACCCUGAUCCAGCCAUGCCGCGUGUGUGAAGAAGGCCUUAUGGUUGUAAAGCACUUUAAGCGAGGAGGAGGCUCUUUUGGUUAAUACCCAAGAUGAGUGGACGUUACUCGCAGAAUAAGCACCGGCUAACUCUGUGCCAGCAGCCGCCGUAA